Molecule: Y RNA, 102 nt
Filed under: Suricata suricatta (meerkat)
Lineage: Eukaryota; Metazoa; Chordata; Mammalia; Carnivora; Herpestidae
Description: Y RNA (ENSSSUG00005015787.1)
Rfam family: Y RNA
About the family: Y RNAs are components of the Ro ribonucleoprotein particle (Ro RNP), in association with Ro60 and La proteins. The Y RNAs and Ro60 and La proteins are well conserved, but the function of the Ro RNP is not known.
Source: Rfam by way of RNAcentral
AGCUGGUCCAAGUGAGGUGGAGUUUACAUUUCAUUGAUCACAGCCAGUUACAGAUUUCUUUGCUCCUUCUCCACUCUCAUUGUUUCACUUGACUAGCCCUAA